Molecule: ribosomal RNA, 331 nt
Filed under: uncultured bacterium
Lineage: Bacteria
Description: bacterial SSU rRNA
Rfam family: Bacterial small subunit ribosomal RNA
Source: RNAcentral
UGCGUAGACGGUUUCGUAAGUCGGGUGUGAAAUCCCCGGGCUCAACCUGGGAAUUGCAUUCGAAACUGCGAGGCUAGGGUACGGAAGAGGGAAGCGGAAUUUCUGGUGUAGCGGUGAAAUGCGUAGAUAUCAGAAGGAACAUCAGUGGCGAAAGCGGCUUCCUGGUCCAGUACCGACGUUCAGGCACGAAAGCGUGGGGAGCAAACAGGAUUAGAUACCCUGGUAGUCCACGCCAUAAACGAUGAGAACUAGACGUUGAGAGGGUUAGCCUCCCAGUGUCGCAGCUAACGCGCUAAGUUCUCCGCCUGGGGAGUACGGCCGCAAGGUUGAA